Molecule: long non-coding RNA, 219 nt
Filed under: Gossypium barbadense (sea-island cotton)
Lineage: Eukaryota; Viridiplantae; Streptophyta; Magnoliopsida; Malvales; Malvaceae
Description: long non-coding RNA (GBAR_LNC007299)
Source: RNAcentral
UGCCUCCGCCUCCCUCGCUGCUGCCUCCGCUCUAAGUUGAGAAAUUUGCUCAUCUGUGCUAGCUUGUAUCUGAACUAUCUGAUCUUUUAACCUCUGAACUUCAGCUUGACUUUGACUCCAGAAAGGCAUGUAUUGGUGCGAGGUGGAUCCAAAAUAUUGGGUCGGGUUAACACCAGAUCCUUGAAAUCUAACCCGACCAUACCUUUCAGGACCCAAAAC